AAAACAGGGAAACUAGAAGCCACCACAGCACCACCAACUAAGGCAAAACAACCAACCAAAGGAAGGAAGACUAUGGCAAUCAAGACAGCCUUUCUCAAAAGAAGAAAGUCUUUCAGAUUGGCAAAGAAGUCCAAACCAGUUUCAACCUCUUCUCAUCACAGUCCAAUUCAUGUUUCAAAAUAAUCUUCUCCAGAAUCCUCUCCUAGAAAGUCAUCUCCUCUCUGAGAACCCUCUUUGUUUCCUCUUAACCCUUUCUAUGGAACUGAAUCCUCACCCUCUGCUUCAUUAGAUGAGUAGAAUCCCCCUCCUUUGAUGCUGACAAAAAGGGGGAGUAGUAUGGUACCAAGGGAGUAGGAACCAGAGAAUAAUGUUUAAAAAAUAAAAUGUUAGUGUAGAGGAACCAAGAACCUAGGAAAGGAAAGAAAGCAGAACCAGGGGUGCAUGAAAUUAGAGAAAUAGGAGAUAGAAAGCAAAACUAGUCUAGGGGCAUUUUCAGAAUACUUUUUAAUCAACUAUUAUUUGUGCCUUGGUGGCACUUAAACACUCAGCUCUAAUUUUGUUAUUUAUGUGGAUGUAUGUGAAACAUGAAUGCUGAUAUGCUUAUGAUAUUUAACUGCUGUAAACUAAAGUCUGCUGAUGUUUUGAUAGCUUGACUGUCAUAAACAAAAUCUGCUGCUAAUAUGCUGAUAUUAAGAAACUUUAGAUAAUUAAAAUGAUGGUAAGGUUACUCACAAUGUCUAGAGUGGGGAUUUUCGAAAUACUCAGACUAUUGGUCCUCGGAUGCAAUUCCCUUGCCUUUAUCGGAGGACUCACCACCUUGACACAAUACAAAAUCGAGGAAUUCACCACAUUGGUACUAAAUUGAAAUUAAACUAAUUUUGACUACUAAUGCAUGAUAUGGAAUGCAAAAGGUCUAAAUUUUGCCUAAACACCGUAUUGACCUAUUUCGGUCUUUUACCCGAUAAAUUGAAA
RNAcentral lists this long non-coding RNA (972 nucleotides) under Theobroma cacao (cacao). RNAcentral's name for it is "long non-coding RNA (TCAC_LNC006220)". The record is from RNAcentral. Lineage: Eukaryota; Viridiplantae; Streptophyta; Magnoliopsida; Malvales; Malvaceae.